Molecule: long non-coding RNA, 330 nt
Organism: Gasterosteus aculeatus aculeatus (three-spined stickleback)
Lineage: Eukaryota; Metazoa; Chordata; Actinopteri; Perciformes; Gasterosteidae
Source: Ensembl
UCCUGCUACCGGGCUUUACAUCAAGCUGCCGACGAGAGUUAGCGCGCCUUAAGUGGCAUUUUUUUCAUGGUUUGUCUUUCUCCGCUCUGGUUCAGCCCAACAUCGUUAUUCCACCUGCGGCCCGAUUAGCGCGGAGCACCGCGGAGCGGGCGACGGCGUUUAAACACAAAAUAAACCAGAGGAGCCUUGCGAGAUCGGACCGCUACAACCUAAAUCGCCGCAAACAAGAGAGACGACAACGUGCAUCACACCUCCAGGCUUUCACGAACGCGUCCCAAAGAUGUGGAGGGUUACACUCCUCUGGUCACACCUGUGAGGGUUGGCGGUUCG